This 232-nucleotide unclassified non-coding RNA is filed under the name soil metagenome. RNAcentral describes it as "partial contains small subunit ribosomal RNA, internal transcribed spacer 1, and 5.8S ribosomal RNA". The record is from RNAcentral.
UCUCCGUAGGUGAACCUGCGGAGGGAUCAUUACACAAAUAUGAAGGCGGGCUGGCACCUCCCGGGGUGGCCAGCCUUGCUGAAUUAUUCCACCCGUGUCUUUUGCGUACUUCUUGUUUCCUUGGUGGGCUCGCCCACCACAAGGACCAACCCAUAAACCUUUUUGCAAUGGCAAUCAGCGUCAGUAACAAUGUAAUAAUUUACAACUUUCAACAACGGAUCUCUUGGUUCUG